GUUGUAAUUAAGUUUCAUGCUAAACUAGACUUUUUGGUAUUUCCAGGUCGAUCACAGAGAGGAGUCAAGAUGGUGGGGCCCGCCGGUGGAUCCCACAGCCUUUCUUUUCCUCUCUUUCUUUUAUUUUCUCUCUCUCUUAUCCUUCCCUUCUCUCGGUUCCUUUUCCUGCUCUCUCAAUUUCUUCUCUGUUUUCUCUCUUGUUCUCUUCUCUGCCUUUGGCUCCUUCACGCGCGCCCGAGAGGAGAGAGGCGCCGGAGAUGGCGGCCUGGCGCAGGGCGGCGGUGGGGGAAGGAGAGAGGAGAAAGGGGUGGCAUCGGUGGGGAGGAGGAGGCUGGGGCGGUGCGGCGGCGCUCGGCGCUUGGCUCGGUGGCACGGAAGCCGGCGGUGGAGCAUGGGGGAGGGAAAGGUGGCCGGCUGCGACGGAGGCCGUCGGGGCGAAGGAGGUUGCGGCCGGCGUCGGCGACCUGGUGGCGGCGCCCAACACGGCGCGGCGGUGCCCCAGCGCCGAUGAAGACGACGAUGCGGUCAGGCCUAGUUGGCUUCUUUAUUCGGAAUGGGCUGCUCCUUAAUG
RNAcentral lists this long non-coding RNA (571 nucleotides) under Oryza sativa tropical japonica subgroup. Its description in RNAcentral is "lncRNA OsAzu_12g0013520". The record is from RNAcentral. Lineage: Eukaryota; Viridiplantae; Streptophyta; Magnoliopsida; Poales; Poaceae.